GGGAAUGCCACCACAUGGUAUCCCAGGAACAAUCUCUGCCCAGCAAGCACCUGGAGUGAAAGCCAUGGCAGGGAGCUGGAGGAGCUGCAGGGAGCUGGGAUGCCAUGGGGCCUUGGCCAGGUGUCAGGCAAGCAUCAUAGAAUCAUGGAAUCAUUGGGACUGGAAAGGACUUCCAAGAUCAUUGAAUCCAAGUUGUGACCAAUCCCCACCUUGUCAACUGGGCCAGAGAACUGAGUGCCACUGAGCAGCAGGAACUUCUCCAGACAGAAACAAAGGAGGAGAAGGAAGAAUACCUGGAUGUACUGGCUGGUCUCAGCAAAACCACAUGGGAACUGGAGAAAAGGAAAGAAGUUCCUGGAUCCCUUUAAAAAGAUCUUCCAGAAGAAAAAAAACAGCAGAGACCAUAACGAAGAACUCUUCAGGAGCUGAAAUCCCACUGGACUGUGGUGUCCAGGAAGAGAGUCCAGGGCACUCUGGGUUCCCAAACUGGCUGGGAGAGACAGCUGGGAUGUGUCCCCUGUUGCCCUCCACUGGAUAGCAGGAGAAUGUCACACUGCUGUGUCAUGUCUGGGGACAGCACAUCCCCAAAGCAUCUCCUCUUUCAGCUAGGGUAAUGGGCUGUGCUCUGGGAACACAGCAGCUGAACUCGAGCUCUGUUUUUGCUCUGGCUGUGUCUCAUGUAGCAACAGCUGGGGGACAUAGGUUUGCUCAAACCACAGCCAGACGAUUGGAAAUAAAAACGAUAUUCAUAUAUUAAUUAA
Passer domesticus (house sparrow) is the source of this 761-nucleotide long non-coding RNA. RefSeq lists it as uncharacterized. The record is from RefSeq and is a predicted model, not a curated record. Lineage: Eukaryota; Metazoa; Chordata; Aves; Passeriformes; Passeridae. The transcript has 3 exons.